UGUUAGCCAAGGCUACUGUAGAGAAGAGUCACAGGAUCCUCACCUGGAAGUCCAGUCUUUACUCCCUCCAUCACUCCCCUCCCAACUAGUAGCAAAUGAUUUUGGGAGGCUGUAGACUAUAUAGGAAGUGGCAGGUUCACUGACGGUGUGAUUCUAUGAUUCAGCUUCCAUGAGCCCUCAACUGUGUUGGGCUGGAACUUUGUGAAGAUGCAUCUGUUUUGGUAUCAUCCACAUUCCUCCUCACAGAUACUUUCUCGAGAUGCCACAAGAUACAAUAUAUCCUGUUGUGUCGUAUUUAUAUUGGAAGAGGAUUCAUAAAUCUGUUGACUGGGAUUACUUCUGAAGAAUCGACAAACCUUUUCCAAGACUGAGAAAGAACUACUCUGAGAAAGAACUACUCUUCUUGUCUGCCUUUCAGAUUCAGUUGACAUGAUCCCCAAGUCUGUGGAUUAAAGCCACCGAACAUCAUUUUCUAUAUACUGUCAAGGGUUUUUUGAGAGCUGGAAAGAUGGAUUACUGGAUAAAAGCCCGUGGCCAUGCAAACCUGAUGACCUGAGUUAGACCCCUGGACUCUACAUAAAGGGGCAGCGCCACAAGCUGUCCUCUGCUCUUCAUACGUUUGCUAUGGUAUGUGUGCACACAAACAAUACAGAUGAAAAGCGCAAUAAAACAUUUUUACAUGUAAAA
Molecule: long non-coding RNA, 687 nt
Organism: Mesocricetus auratus (golden hamster)
Lineage: Eukaryota; Metazoa; Chordata; Mammalia; Rodentia; Cricetidae
Exons: 4
Source: RefSeq, a predicted model, not a curated record